CUACGGGGCGCUCCAGUGAGGAAUAUUGGUCAAUGGGCGAGAGCCUGAACCAGCCAAGUCGCGUGAAGGAAGAAGGAUCUAUGGUUCGUAAACUUCUUUUGCAGGGGAAUAAAGUGCAGGACGUGUCCUGUUUUGUAUGUACCCUGAGAAUAAGGAUCGGCUAACUCCGUGCCAGCGAGCCGCGGUAAUACGGAGGAUCCGAGCGUUAUCCGGAUUUAUUGGGUUUAAAGGGUGCGUAGGUGGUUUAAUAAGUCAGCGGUGAAAGUUUGCAGCUUAACUGUAAAAAUGCCGUUGAAACUGUUAGACUUGAGUGUAAAUGAGGUAGGCGGAAUGCGUGGUGUAGCGGUGAAAUGCUUAGAUAUCACGCAGAACUCCGAUUGCGAAGGCAGCUUACCAAGCUACAACUGACACUGAAGCACGAAAGCGUGGGGAUCAAACAGGAUUAGAUACCCUAGUAGUC
Molecule: ribosomal RNA, 460 nt
Filed under: uncultured bacterium
Lineage: Bacteria
Description: partial 16S ribosomal RNA
Rfam family: Bacterial small subunit ribosomal RNA
Source: RNAcentral